Molecule: transfer RNA, 72 nt
Filed under: Camelus dromedarius (Arabian camel)
Lineage: Eukaryota; Metazoa; Chordata; Mammalia; Artiodactyla; Camelidae
Also listed under: 1 other name
Rfam family: tRNA
About the family: Transfer RNA (tRNA) molecules are approximately 80 nucleotides in length. Their secondary structure includes four short double-helical elements and three loops (D, anti-codon, and T loops). Further hydrogen bonds mediate the characteristic L-shaped molecular structure. tRNAs have two regions of fundamental functional importance: the anti-codon, which is responsible for specific mRNA codon recognition, and the 3' end, to which the tRNAs corresponding amino acid is attached (by aminoacyl-tRNA synthetases). tRNAs cope with the degeneracy of the genetic code in two manners: having more than one tRNA (with a specific anti-codon) for a particular amino acid; and 'wobble' base-pairing, i.e. permitting non-standard base-pairing at the 3rd anti-codon position.
Source: Rfam by way of RNAcentral
GAGGGUGUAGCUCAGUGGUAGAUCGCGUGCUUGGCAUGCACAAGUUCCUGGGUUCAAUCCCCAGUACCUCCA